CAUUAAUGGUCUCUCUCUCUCUCUCUCUCUCUUUUUAAGGAAAAAUUUUAAAUAUCAUUUCACAUUUUCUCAUUUUAAUACUCUAUAGUUUAAAGUAUAACAAUUUAGUGUCCUGUGAUUUUAUUUUUAUUUUUUUAUUAUCGAUUCCACUAAUCUUUUUCGUUAAAUCAGUAACAAAGUUAAACUAAAAGAUACUAAAAUGAAUAUUCGAUAAACUUAGGUGGGGUAUCUGAAGUUUUUUGUAUACAAUUUAACGAAAUAUUAACAAAAAAGCAAACGAAACGAUAAAAAUGAAACCACAGAAUACUAACUUAAUACACUUUAAACCACAGGGUACUAAAGUGAGAAAGUGCGAAACCACAUGAGUGGUAUUUGAAGUUUACCCCUUUUUUUUUGUCCAUUGAAUUUUAUCACCAUUUAUUAAUUGAUUAAUUUGAUCGUAUUUAAUGUAAAUAUUAAAAACAUACAUAAUUUAUCUACACUGUUUUGAUCUAACCUUUCAAAAAUUUAAAUUCGCUAUCAAAUUUUUUAAUUUAUUUAAUUUAAAUCAGUCAACAGUGUCUUAACUCUUAAAAUUCAAGCUAAUAACUUAUUUUAAUGAAUUUAUAGAGGUUAGAACCUAGAUAGUAAAUUCGCGAAUUAUUCGCGAAUUAUUGAAAAUCCGAAUUAAACGGUCCGUUUACGAAUUUUUCCGAAAGAAAGAGAAUUAUUCGCGAAAUUUUGUGCCAGCCGAGUUAUUCGCGAAUAAUUCACGAAUUAUUCGCGAAUUAUUGCCGAAUUAUUGAAAAUAUGAAUAAAAAACUUAUAAUUUUAUUUUUAAAUAUAAAUUAUUUUAUAUUUUAUACCAAAUCAAUUUUUUAAGCCGAAUUUUUCAACGAAUUUAAAAAUUAGAAAAAAAAAUUUAUACGUAUUAUAUCCGUACCGAAUUUUUGCCGAAUCCGAAUUAACUAACUAUGGGUUAGAAUUGUAUGAGAGUAUACUAAUUAAACUUGUGAAUAAAGACAUAUUCAAAUUUUGGAGUCAAACAUUGUUGAUUGAGUCUAAUCAAAUAAAUUGAGAGGUUAGACCGUAAAACUAAAAUUUUGAAAGGUUGGAUAGCUGAUUCAAAAUAGUUCAUAGUCCAUAUAUAUAUAUAUAUAAAAGUGUUGUGUAUUUUUACCUAUUUAAUAUUGUUUACCCAUCUAUAACAACAAUAACUUUGUUAAUAUCA
This 1210-nucleotide long non-coding RNA is filed under the name Ananas comosus (pineapple). RNAcentral's name for it is "long non-coding RNA (ACOM_LNC011478)". Lineage: Eukaryota; Viridiplantae; Streptophyta; Magnoliopsida; Poales; Bromeliaceae. The record is from RNAcentral.